This 703-nucleotide small RNA is filed under the name Pan troglodytes (chimpanzee). RNAcentral's name for it is "retained intron". Lineage: Eukaryota; Metazoa; Chordata; Mammalia; Primates; Hominidae. The record is from RNAcentral.
CUUAAGUAGACUGUUGUCAUCUCUUUUCUUUUGAGUCCAAUUUUCCUAUAGUUUGUUUAUGUCAAUGGCUCGACAAAAUGAUAAAAUAUAUUUCCAGAAAGCACAUGGAUUUGGAACUCUCUCUUGUUAUGUUUAUAUUAGGCUUUAUUUUAAAGGCAAGUGAGACUGCUUCAAGUAAAACAACUUCAAGCUUCCAAGAAACAGUUAAGAGGAGGCAGAGAGGAGCAGAAACACUUCUUCGCUGACACUUACACUGUUGCCAUGGACCUACAUAAGCAGUGGGAGAACACAGAGACUAACUGGCAUAAGGAAAAGAUGGAAUUACUGGACCAGUUUGACAAUGAAAGAAAGGAAUGGGAAAGUCAAUGGAAGAUUAUGCAGAAGAAAAUAGAAGAGCUUUGCCGGGAAGUAAAGCUUCGGAGGAAAAUCAAUAUGAAUGAACGUGCUAAGAUCAUUGAUCUUUACCAUGAGAAGACCAUUCCAGAGAAAGUGAUAGAAUCUUCCCCAAAUUACCCCGAUUUAGGACAAAGUGAAUUUAUAAGGACGAAUCACAAAGAUGGUCUGAGAAAAGAAAAUAAAAGAGAGCAGAGCUUAGUCAGUGGAGGAAAUCAAAUGUGUAAGGAACAAAAAGCAACAACAAAAUCAAAAGUAGGGUUUUUGGAUCCUUUGGCUACAGACAACCAAAAGGAAUGUGAGGCCUGGC